RNAcentral lists this ribosomal RNA (129 nucleotides) under Pteropus vampyrus (large flying fox). The record is from RNAcentral. Lineage: Eukaryota; Metazoa; Chordata; Mammalia; Chiroptera; Pteropodidae.
GUCUACGGCAUGCCACCUGAACAAGCCAAAUUCUGUCUGAUCUCGGAAGCUAAGCCCGAUUCUGUCUGAUCUCGGGCCUGGUUAGUACUUGGAUAGGAGACCACCUAGGAAGACCAGGUGCUGUAGGUG